CCUACGGGAGGCAGCAGUGGGGAAUCUUGCGCAAUGGGCGAAAGCCUGACGCAGCCAUGCCGCGUGAAUGAUGAAGGUCUUAGGAUUGUAAAAUUCUUUCACCGGGGACGAUAAUGACGGUACCCGGAGAAGAAGCCCCGGCUAACUUCGUGCCAGCAGCCGCGGUAAUACGAAGGGGGCUAGCGUUGCUCGGAAUUACUGGGCGUAAAGGGAGCGUAGGCGGAUAGUUUAGUCAGAGGUGAAAGCCCAGGGCUCAACCUUGGAAUUGCCUUUGAUACUGGCUAUCUUGAGUAUGGGAGAGGUAUGCGGAACUCCGAGUGUAGAGGUGAAAUUCGUAGAUAUUCGGAAGAACACCAGUGGCGAAGGCGGCAUACUGGCCCAUUACUGACGCUGAGGCUCGAAAGCGUGGGGAGCAAACAGGAUUAGAUACCCUGGUAGUCCACGCUGUAAACGAUGAGUGCUAGUUGUCGGCAUGCAUGCAUGUCGGUGACGCGAGCGUACGCAUAAGACGACGUCCGCCGUCGGGGUAGGUACGGUCGGCGAAGUAAGUUAAACGUUAACGAAAGUAGUUAAGUUAGUACGGCGUUGAGACGUUGCCGACGGACGACGACGAGGGGAGGUUAGG
RNAcentral lists this ribosomal RNA (625 nucleotides) under uncultured bacterium. Its description in RNAcentral is "bacterial SSU rRNA". The stretch from base 1 to 520 matches the Rfam family "Bacterial small subunit ribosomal RNA", at positions 338 to 873 of the family's 1533-position model. The record is from RNAcentral.